AUCUGUACGCAUCCCUAACUCUCUCCCUCUCUUACCACGUUCAAUUGACAACCCCCUUUCCUCACUCACCCUCGCCCUCGCCGUCUUGUCUCCCUCUUUAUCUCUUGGUGAUGCAGAAGCAACGACAUGGUGGCGUAACCAAGCGACACUCUCUCAAUUUAUGCAUGUGGUUCGCCGAUGUAUGAGAAUGAUGGGGCUCGGCGAGCUACGUACGAGGUUGGUCGUUUGCUAGCUAAUGAAAGAAACAAGAGUGCAAGGUGUUUUCAAAGGUGGAAGUCAUAUAUGUUGGGGAAAACUUAUACAAGAUCUUGUUUAUUUUUAUGUAAAUCAUAUAUUAAACAAAUUAAUAUAAGAAAACUUAGAGCAUGUUUCUAUAAUUGGAUUUAUACAAAAAUAAUGAUAAGAACACUUACAUUAUACGUAACGAAAUGUAUUAAUCAUUCCUUUA
Molecule: long non-coding RNA, 448 nt
Organism: Humulus lupulus (European hop)
Lineage: Eukaryota; Viridiplantae; Streptophyta; Magnoliopsida; Rosales; Cannabaceae
Exons: 2
Source: RefSeq, a predicted model, not a curated record